This 433-nucleotide long non-coding RNA is filed under the name Lotus japonicus. RNAcentral's name for it is "long non-coding RNA (LJAP_LNC002242)". The record is from RNAcentral. Lineage: Eukaryota; Viridiplantae; Streptophyta; Magnoliopsida; Fabales; Fabaceae.
UUCAAUUUCCUUAUACCCUUUUGUAAACCAAGUGCUCUGCAUGAUCUUGGCAAUGUUAAUUCUAGUCCUUGGAUUGGGAUCAAGGAUUCUGUAGAGAAGCCUUUUCGCGUCUGAGCGGAACCAUGGAGGGAACUUGAAAUCUGCUGUGGUAAUUUUUCUGUACAUUUCCAUUAGAUUUUUAUCAUUGAAAGGAAGAAAACCUGCUAAGAGAACAUAGAGAAUCACUCCACAUGACCAAAUAUCUGCUCUGGCUCCAUCAUAUCCUUUCUUUUUUAUCACCUCAGGUGCUACAUAAGAUGGAGUUCCACAUGUUGUGUGAAGUAAACCAUCACUUUUCUUUGAUUCCAACAAUGCACUCAAACCAAAGUCUGUAACUUUGAGGUCCCCAUUUUCAUCUAGGAGAAGAUUCUCCGGUUUGAGGUCACGGUGAUAC